Molecule: unclassified non-coding RNA, 271 nt
Filed under: Hevea brasiliensis (rubber tree)
Lineage: Eukaryota; Viridiplantae; Streptophyta; Magnoliopsida; Malpighiales; Euphorbiaceae
Source: RNAcentral
GUGUUCAACAUUUAAAAGGUAGGAAGAUACUAUUUUCCUACACUGGAAGGUUAAGGGAAUAACAAAUUUUACUCAGAAAACAUAUCAUCCAUGGGUCACAAAUACAUCAUCCAGAGGCUAUAGCACAGUGUUUAAAUCAUCCAAACUUCAAACAAGGCUCACUACAACUUAGCCAGACCAAAAGAGAAAAAAGACAUUCUUCUAUUUCUAUUGGGAUCCAAAUCCUGGUAUCCCACAGUUAUUUCCACUUCAUUGAUUGAUUAGACGCCUU